Molecule: long non-coding RNA, 149 nt
Filed under: Ictidomys tridecemlineatus (thirteen-lined ground squirrel)
Lineage: Eukaryota; Metazoa; Chordata; Mammalia; Rodentia; Sciuridae
Description: lncRNA (ENSSTOG00000034274.1)
Source: RNAcentral
UGAGAUUGUCUGGGAGAAAGAAAAGAAAGAAAGAGAUUCAAGUACAAGCAAAAAACCCGUUAUACACCUACACCUGGAGGUCUCCAUAAACUCCCACAUGGCUGGAGCAACCCUAAGAAGUUGAUCCACUGGGAAAGGUGUGAGAUAUG